CCUUCGAUAGCUCAGUUGGAAGAGCGUGGGACUGUAAUUGGAUAUCCGUAACAUCCCGAGGUCACUGGUUCGAUCCCGGUUCGAAGGA
Molecule: non-coding RNA, 88 nt
Organism: Obba rivulosa
Lineage: Eukaryota; Fungi; Basidiomycota; Agaricomycetes; Polyporales; Gelatoporiaceae
Source: the annotation of a GenBank genome assembly